GCUAAGAGCCGUUCCUUCGGGAAGGGCUUGACCCUCAGUGGGGCGGCUAGCAACGGGGGGACGCAGGAGGAUAGGUGAUCCCAGGCGUUGGUUGUCCUGGGGUAAGUGUGUAGAGCGAGGACCAGGUAAAUCCGGGCCUCUUUAAGCUCGAGACAUGAUGCCGAGCCGUUUCAGGCGAAGUCACUGAUUCCAUGCUGCCAAGAAAAGCCUCUAGCGAGCUGGCAUGGUGCCCGUACCCCAAACCAACUCAGGUGGGCGGGUAGAGAAUACCAAGGCGAUUGGGUGAACUGUGGUUAAGGAACUCGGCAAACUACCUCUGUAACUUCGGGAUAAAGAGGACCUCAUUAGGGUGAUAGACCUUGCGUCUGGAGCUCGAGGGGGUGGCACAAACCAGGGGGAAGCGACUGUUUACUAAAAACACAGCAGCGUGCCAAGCCGCAAGGCGCUGUAUACGCUGUGACGCCUGCCCGGUGCCGGAAGGUUACGGGGAAAGGUUAGCCUUCGGGCGAAGCUUUGAACCUAAGCCCCGGUAAACGGCGGCCGUAACUAUAACGGUCCUAAGGUAGCGAAAUUCCUUGUCGGGUAAGUUCCGACCUGCACGAAUGGCGUAACGACUUCCCUACUGUCUCAACCACAGGCCCAGCGAAAUUGAAGUACGAGUAAAGAUGCUCGUUAGCUGUAGAAGGACGGAAAGACCCCGUGGACCUUUACUACAACUUGAUGUUGGGUUUUGGUAUGCGUUGUGUAGGAUAGGUGGGAGACUAGGAAGCCGGGGCGCCAGUUUCGGUGGAGUCAUCCUUGAAAUACCACCCUGCGUAUGCCGGGACUCUAACCUGGGCCCGUUAUCCGGGUCAGGGACAGCGUCAGGCGGGUAGUUUGACUGGGGCGGUCGCCUCCUAAAGAGUAACGGAGGCGCUCAAAGGUUCCCUCAGCCUGGUUGGCAAUCAGGCGUCGAGUGCAAUGGCACAAGGGAGCUUGACUGCGAGACCUACAAGUCAAGCAGGUGCGAAAGCAGGACAUAGUGAUCCGGCGGUUGCGUGUGGAAGCGCCGUCGCUCAACGGAUAAAAGGUACCCCGGGGAUAACAGGCUUAUCUUCCCCAAGAGUCCAUAUCGACGGGAAGGUUUGGCACCUCGAUGUCGGCUCAUCGCAUCCUCGGGCUGAAGCAGGUCCGAAGGGUUGGGCUGUUCGCCCAUUAAAGCGGUACGCGAGCUGGGUUUAGAACGUCGUGAGACAGUUCGGUCCCUAUCCUCUGCAGCCGGAGGCGAUUUGAGAGAAGCUGUUCCUAGUACGAGAGGACCGGAACGGACGUAGCUCUCGUGUGCCAGUUGUUCCGCCAGGAGCAUGGCGUUAGCGACCUACGGAAGAGAUAACCGCUGAAAGCAUCUAAGCGGGAAACUCGUCUCGAGAUGAGAUCGCCCACUGGGUUAACCGGGUAAGGCCCGUGGUAGGUCACCACGUUGAUAGGCCGGAAGUGUACGCGCAGUAAUGCGUUUAGCUGACCGGUACUAAUCGGCCGAGGGCUUGGAUU
This 1530-nucleotide ribosomal RNA is filed under the name metagenome. RNAcentral's name for it is "bacterial LSU rRNA". It matches the Rfam family "Bacterial large subunit ribosomal RNA", at positions 1401 to 2925 of the family's 2925-position model. The record is from RNAcentral.